This is a long non-coding RNA of Tachysurus vachellii, 920 nucleotides long. RefSeq lists it as uncharacterized. The transcript is spliced from 2 exons. The record is from RefSeq and is a predicted model, not a curated record. Lineage: Eukaryota; Metazoa; Chordata; Actinopteri; Siluriformes; Bagridae.
AGUACACCGUGUGCGGGAAAAACAGAUCCUUGCUGACAAAGAGGAAACCACAUCGCUUCUUUUGAAACGCGCCACACACUUGACCUCUACAAUGCUUUAUAGUGCAACUGAACCACGAGAUAAUCUGGCUGCGGCUCGCUCGGGCUCUGGGCCGAACUUUUCGAAUGGAUCUUGCUGAUUUCCUCGAGGGCACUGGCCAGCGAGUCCAGGUCUCCAGAGGCCUGGUGCUGAGCCUCCCACAGGCUGAGGAUGACCCCAGAUGGGCUGUGCUGCUGUGCAAAAUAUGAAAGGUUCCUGAGGAAGAGAAUACAAUCACAACAGUGUGAUUAAUGUGAUAAAUGUGACACCAACAACUAGAUGUUAUAUUGUGAUGUUGUAUGAUUAAGAAUAACUACAGCAAGUGUUUUUUUGUGUAGAAACAAGAAAUUGUUCAUUUAAAUUACAGCUGAAAUGACUCAAGAAAUCAAGAAACAAGCAACACUGAUAUAAUACUAUUGUAUAUUGUAUACAGAGUUGUGUAAAAUGUUGUCAUUUCUGGCUCCAACCCUCAUGUGCCCUUCUUCUCAUGAGCUUUUCUCAGCUGAGUCAGUUAUUUGUACUCAUAAGAGAGACUAAGAGGGAUACCAGCACAAAGGUUUAUAUAACAAAUGACAAGCACACUGCUUUAAAUUUAUUUCCAAAUAAACUAAUUAAACAUUGUCUUAUUUAAAAUUACAUGUAUUUACAGUCAGUUUAAGAACUUGCAUUAAUCUUAUAUUCACAGCCACUUGAUGGCAGUGUUUCAACAUGUUUGUUUGUGUAAACCCCAAACAAUAAGCAGUUAUUUGCUCUGUGUUGUAAAUUAUCUGAAAAGCCUUCUGCAGUCAUGAAAUAAUAGCAUUCCUUAAUAAAGCUGAACAAUGGCGGUGCCUAAAACAUCA